UGGAAGUAAGAACAAUCAUCAAGACGUGAGCUCAACAGGGAGGGUGUCAUUUUUCUCAAAUAAGAAAUAACCAGGAAGUUCCCAGUCCGGUGUCAUGGUGUCAGGGCGGUCAUGAGAGAUGCUGGCACCUCCUUUGUGCCUUCUCUUCUUGGCAUGAGUGCAUGGGUGGUAUCCCAUGUUUGUCACAUGUUGAUCACAGUAGCUGUUGCUCUACCAGACAGCGUGUCUGUAACUGGAGAAGAAAAGGAAAAGCAAGAACAGAAAGAAGCAUGCCAGAUACCACAGAUCAAAACACCUUGGGUUGAUGUGAGGUUGAUCAAGGCACGUUGACCAUGAUGACUGGUGUAUGGCUGAAAGAUGCAUUUGCGUUGUUUAGAGUCUCCUUCCCCAAGAGAUCAUUUGGUCCAGCAUAAGAAAUCUAUCUUCCUAUCAAUGUGCAGGCCGGGUGACCUUCAUAAACAGCCAAACAGCUGACAUGGCAUCAACUCAACUAAAAGAAGAGUCAACACCCUCUGCAAACCAUAAAUCCAGAAUUCUCAACAACAGUUCUGGGUUUGGGUCCCAAAGAGAUGGAACACUCCUAUGAGAAUAAAUUGAAGCAUCUUUAA
Molecule: non-coding RNA, 608 nt
Organism: Rattus norvegicus (Norway rat)
Lineage: Eukaryota; Metazoa; Chordata; Mammalia; Rodentia; Muridae
Source: RefSeq, a predicted model, not a curated record